RNAcentral lists this ribosomal RNA (560 nucleotides) under Salmonella enterica subsp. enterica serovar Montevideo. RNAcentral describes it as "partial 23S ribosomal RNA". It matches the Rfam family "Bacterial large subunit ribosomal RNA", at positions 456 to 1014 of the family's 2925-position model. Lineage: Bacteria; Pseudomonadati; Pseudomonadota; Gammaproteobacteria; Enterobacterales; Enterobacteriaceae. The record is from RNAcentral.
UCCUCCAAGGCUAAAUACUCCUGACUGACCGAUAGUGAACCAGUACCGUGAGGGAAAGGCGAAAAGAACCCCGGCGAGGGGAGUGAAAAAGAACCUGAAACCGUGUACGUACAAGCAGUGGGAGCACAGGUUUACCUGUGUGACUGCGUACCUUUUGUAUAAUGGGUCAGCGACUUAUAUUCUGUAGCAAGGUUAACCGUAUAGGGGAGCCGGAGGGAAACCGAGUCUUAACCGGGCGUUAAGUUGCAGGGUAUAGACCCGAAACCCGGUGAUCUAGCCAUGGGCAGGUUGAAGGUUGGGUAACACUAACUGGAGGACCGAACCGACUAAUGUUGAAAAAUUAGCGGAUGACCUGUGGCUGGGGGUGAAAGGCCAAUCAAACCGGGAGAUAGCUGGUUCUCCCCGAAAGCUAUUUAGGUAGCGCCUCGUGAAUUCAUCUCCGGGGGUAGAGCACUGUUUCGGCUAGGGGGCCAUCCCGGCUUACCAACCCGAUGCAAACUGCGAAUACCGGAGAAUGUUAUCACGGGAGACACACGGCGGGUGCUAACGUCCGUCGUGAA